Micropterus salmoides (largemouth bass) is the source of this 2269-nucleotide long non-coding RNA. RefSeq lists it as uncharacterized. The record is from RefSeq and is a predicted model, not a curated record. The transcript is spliced from 2 exons. NCBI's taxonomy places the organism in Eukaryota, Metazoa, Chordata, Actinopteri, Centrarchiformes, Centrarchidae.
GACACACGCCUGGAUCCCAUGCUGCCAGACUGCCCACGAGUGUCUGCAGCCUGGCAGGUUCACAGGCAGCAGCCAUUGUGGUGAGAGUCACAGCAGAGCAACAGAGGUGACGAGGUUGAGAGAAGGUUGAGGGAAGGCUGUCAGGGCAUCGUGGCCCAGCCCUUCAGUCAACUCACAUACAGCUCCCAGCAGUCACCUCUUCUGCUACCAUGACUGCUGUUGUCUGGGUUGCUAUGGUAAGAAUAUCUCUGUGUGUGUGUGUGUGUGUGUGUGUGUGUGUGUGUAGGUGGCUGACCAAGUGUCUCAGCAACACAGAACAGACCGGUGAAUCCUUGUUGUCAUGCACACACACACACACGCACAUAUGCAGACACAUUCAUCACAGUGUGAAACACCGCUCACUCUUGUGUGGAGCCAGACUGAGCCAGGCCCGGGGCGACUCAGCUGCUGUGGAGAAUGGCAUGUGAUCAGACACGCACACACACUAAGAUGUCUGAAGGCUAACAAAGUAUUGGAUGUGUGCUUACAUAUGGGCACUGGGACUGGUCAGGCAGCAUGAUAGGAGAAAUGGGUGAAGGAUGAGUUUUGCCGUUGGUCUUUUUCUGUCUUUAUGUCUGUUCUUCUCUCUCUCUCUCUCUCUCUCUCUCCUUACUCUUCUUCUGUUUUUGACUUCCUCUGUACAUCUCCCUUUCCCCUCCUCCGCUUGUGUUCUGCUUCCCUGUGUGGUGCAGUGAUGAUAUGAUGAUUGUGUUUUCCAUGCUGGUAGACUCUUGGCAGAAGGAGGUAGGGAGAAGUGGAGGCAGAGCUUGUCUGUUAUUCCUAAUCAUCUGUGAAGCAAUGCCGGUAUACCAGCAUGGCACUCUGACGGGGCGGGAAGGACCCAGAGAAGGAGGGAGAAUAACAUGUAGCGGGGGUGUCCACUAACAUCUCCAUUUCUUGUUUUAAAUGUUUUAAAUAAAACCUGGACCCAUUCCCUUCGCAUUUGACUGGCUAGCUUCCCUCCUUUUAAUUUUUUUUAUCCUCAUUUUUCUUCCUUUCACUGUAUUCUUUUUUUCCAUCUUGCAAAAGGAAUUUGUUCCCCCAAGAAGGUCAGUGCUCUGGCGUUUGGCAGUGUCCUGGCACACUAUCAGAAUUUUAUCAGUUAGGAGCACGCUGAACACAGGCUAAAUAUGCAGAUAAAGUGGAACCAAUCUCCUGCUGGAAAAGCUCCCUUUGUGCGUGUGUCUGUGUGUGUUUGUACAGCUAUCUUUGUGAGGACAAGCAAGGGUUUUUAACCUUUGGAGUGAGGACCAUUUUGCAAAGUGAGGACAUUUAGGCCGGUCCUCACUUUAUUUUCACUGUAAUGGCCUCCAGAGUCUGUUUAUAUGCUUCUCUCAAAGUUUCAGAGAGGUCCUCAAAAAGAUGCCAAAAUCGAAAAUGUGUGUGGAUUUUCGGUGUGUGUACGUACUCUGAAUACACACACUUUUUGCUCUCUAUCGCCCUCUAUUGACAUAACCGAUUUAUUGCACAGGAGCAACUUUAACUAGAGAAAGACAUGUCUCAUGGUUUUUUAGGUAAAAUAAAAUACAUAUUAUGAAAUUUCAUUUUGUUUUAUUUUACUAUCCCUUAGUUUUUAAAUAUUUAACAAGGUUAUAAUGUGUUUAACUCACUUAUAACAUUAAACUACUGUUUAAUAGUAACAUUAAACUGUAGAAGGAUUUUCAGACUGCAUGAGAUCUAUACAACGAAGGUUAAAAUGAAGGGCAACUGGACUUGGUUGAAGCUUCAACCAAGUCUAGUUGCCCUUCAUUUUAACCUUCGUUGGAUAACUAUGACCUGGAUGACUGAGAAUCUUCAUAGACAUCUGCAUGAGAUCUACUUUAAAUAUAAAAUGCUCAAUUUUUAAAUUCCAAAUUGAUUUCCUCUUUGUGUAUUGCCCAUUAGUGAGAAAUGUCUGUUAUAAAGACAUCAUCACUUUUUUGCUGUAAGAUGUUUCUUCCAAUGCAGCAGCUUGUUAUAUAAAUUUCACUUUUUAUUGUAAGCCAGUCAGAUGUGUAUUGAGUUGAAACACAUUUGUGACAUGUCCCUGCUGAGUUGUAAGUUGCAAAAAAUCCUGGUGAUUUUGAUACCCUCAGAGGAUAAUAUUUUUUUGCAUAUUUCUACUCCUAGUAAGUACUUAUUUGUUAUCAAAAUGUAAGUAAUUUGUGUUUUGAGUAAGAUAUAUGUUAUAGAAUAUCAAUUGAAUUAAAAUAUUGUUUCUUUUUAAAUAAAAAUAUGAGUUUAAGCAUGA